UGUCACAUGUGUUGGAAGUUCUGUCCCAAG
This 30-nucleotide non-coding RNA is filed under the name Mus musculus (house mouse). Lineage: Eukaryota; Metazoa; Chordata; Mammalia; Rodentia; Muridae. RNAcentral also lists the same sequence under 1 other name. The record is from RNAcentral.